RNAcentral lists this ribosomal RNA (2825 nucleotides) under Escherichia coli. Its description in RNAcentral is "partial 23S ribosomal RNA". It matches the Rfam family "Bacterial large subunit ribosomal RNA". Lineage: Bacteria; Pseudomonadati; Pseudomonadota; Gammaproteobacteria; Enterobacterales; Enterobacteriaceae. The record is from RNAcentral.
GGUUAAGCGACUAAGCGUACACGGUGGAUGCCCUGGCAGUCAGAGGCGAUGAAGGACGUGCUAAUCUGCGAUAAGCGUCGGUGAGGUGAUAUGAACCGUUAUAACCGGCGAUUUCCGAAUGGGGAAACCCAGUGUGUUUCGACACACUAUCAUUAACUGAAUCCAUAGGUUAAUGAGGCGAACCGGGGGAACUGAAACAUCUAAGUACCCCGAGGAAAAGAAAUCAACCGAGAUUCCCCCAGUAGCGGCGAGCGAACGGGGAGGAGCCCAGAGCCUGAAUCAGUGUGUGUGUUAGUGGAAGCGUCUGGAAAGGCGUGCGAUACAGGGUGACAGCCCCGUACACAAAAAUGCACAUAUUGUGAGCUCGAUGAGUAGGGCGGGACACGUGGUAUCCUGUCUGAAUAUGGGGGGACCAUCCUCCAAGGCUAAAUACUCCUGACUGACCGAUAGUGAACCAGUACCGUGAGGGAAAGGCGAAAAGAACCCCGGCGAGGGGAGUGAAAAAGAACCUGAAACCGUGUACGUACAAGCAGUGGGAGCCUCUUAAUGGGGUGACUGCGUACCUUUUGUAUAAUGGGUCAGCGACUUAUAUUCUGUAGCAAGGUUAACCGAAUAGGGGAGCCGAAGGGAAACCGAGUCUUAACUGGGCGUUAAGUUGCAGGGUAUAGACCCGAAACCCGGUGAUCUAGCCAUGGGCAGGUUGAAGGUUGGGUAACACUAACUGGAGGACCGAACCGACUAAUGUUGAAAAAUUAGCGGAUGACUUGUGGCUGGGGGUGAAAGGCCAAUCAAACCGGGAGAUAGCUGGUUCUCCCCGAAAGCUAUUUAGGUAGCGCCUCGUGAAUUCAUCUCCGGGGGUAGAGCACUGUUUCGGCAAGGGGGUCAUCCCGACUUACCAACCCGAUGCAAACUGCGAAUACCGGAGAAUGUUAUCACGGGAGACACACGGCGGGUGCUAACGUCCGUCGUGAAGAGGGAAACAACCCAGACCGCCAGCUAAGGUCCCAAAGUCAUGGUUAAGUGGGAAACGAUGUGGGAAGGCCCAGACAGCCAGGAUGUUGGCUUAGAAGCAGCCAUCAUUUAAAGAAAGCGUAAUAGCUCACUGGUCGAGUCGGCCUGCGCGGAAGAUGUAACGGGGCUAAACCAUGCACCGAAGCUGCGGCAGCGACACUAUGUGUUGUUGGGUAGGGGAGCGUUCUGUAAGCCUGUGAAGGUGGCCUGUGAGGGUUGCUGGAGGUAUCAGAAGUGCGAAUGCUGACAUAAGUAACGAUAAAGCGGGUGAAAAGCCCGCUCGCCGGAAGACCAAGGGUUCCUGUCCAACGUUAAUCGGGGCAGGGUGAGUCGACCCCUAAGGCGAGGCCGAAAGGCGUAGUCGAUGGGAAACAGGUUAAUAUUCCUGUACUUGGUGUUACUGCGAAGGGGGGACGGAGAAGGCUAUGUUGGCCGGGCGACGGUUGUCCCGGUUUAAGCGUGUAGGCUGGUUUUCCAGGCAAAUCCGGAAAACCAAGGCUGAGGCGUGAUGACGAGGCACUACGGUGCUGAAGCGACAAAUGCCCUGCUUCCAGGAAAAGCCUCUAAGCAUCAGGUAACAUCAAAUCGUACCCAAAACCGACACAGGUGGUCAGGUAGAGAAUACCAAGGCGCUUGAGAGAACUCGGGUGAAGGAACUAGGCAAAAUGGUGCCGUAACUUCGGGAGAAGGCACGCUGAUAUGUAGGUGAAGCGACUUGCUCGUGGAGCUGAAAUCAGUCGAAGAUACCAGCUGGCUGCAACUGUUUAUUAAAAACACAGCACUGUGCAAACACGAAAGUGGACGUAUACGGUGUGACGCCUGCCCGGUGCCGGAAGGUUAAUUGAUGGGGUUAGCGGUAACGCGAAGCUCUUGAUCGAAGCCCCGGUAAACGGCGGCCGUAACUAUAACGGUCCUAAGGUAGCGAAAUUCCUUGUCGGGUAAGUUCCGACCUGCACGAAUGGCGUAAUGAUGGCCAGGCUGUCUCCACCCGAGACUCAGUGAAAUUGAACUCGCUGUGAAGAUGCAGUGUACCCGCGGCAAGACGGAAAGACCCCGUGAACCUUUACUAUAGCUUGACACUGAACAUUGAGCCUUGAUGUGUAGGAUAGGUGGGAGGCUUUGAAGUGUGGACGCCAGUCUGCAUGGAGCCGACCUUGAAAUACCACCCUUUAAUGUUUGAUGUUCUAACGUUGGCCCGUAAUCCGGGUUGCGGACAGUGUCUGGUGGGUAGUUUGACUGGGGCGGUCUCCUCCUAAAGAGUAACGGAGGAGCACGAAGGUUGGCUAAUCCUGGUCGGACAUCAGGAGGUUAGUGCAAUGGCAUAAGCCAGCUUGACUGCGAGCGUGACGGCGCGAGCAGGUGCGAAAGCAGGUCAUAGUGAUCCGGUGGUUCUGAAUGGAAGGGCCAUCGCUCAACGGAUAAAAGGUACUCCGGGGAUAACAGGCUGAUACCGCCCAAGAGUUCAUAUCGACGGCGGUGUUUGGCACCUCGAUGUCGGCUCAUCACAUCCUGGGGCUGAAGUAGGUCCCAAGGGUAUGGCUGUUCGCCAUUUAAAGUGGUACGCGAGCUGGGUUUAGAACGUCGUGAGACAGUUCGGUCCCUAUCUGCCGUGGGCGCUGGAGAACUGAGGGGGGCUGCUCCUAGUACGAGAGGACCGGAGUGGACGCAUCACUGGUGUUCGGGUUGUCAUGCCAAUGGCACUGCCCGGUAGCUAAAUGCGGAAGAGAUAAGUGCUGAAAGCAUCUAAGCACGAAACUUGCCCCGAGAUGAGUUCUCCCUGACUCCUUGAGGGUCCUGAAGGAACGUUGAAGACG